UUCCUACGGGACGCAGCAGUGAGGAAUAUUGGUCAAUGGGCGGGAGCCUGAACCAGCCAAGCCGCGUGAGGGAAGAAGGUACAGCGUAUCGUAAACCUCUUUUGUCAGGGAACAAAGGCGGGGACUAGUCCCCGGAUGAGGGUACCUGAAGAAAAAGCAUCGGCUAACUCCGUGCCAGCAGCCGCGGUAAUACGGAGGAUGCGAGCGUUAUCCGGAUUUAUUGGGUUUAAAGGGUGCGCAGGCGGCCUGUUAAGUCGGCGGUAAAAUGCCGGGGCUCAACCCCGGCCGGCCCUUGAAACUGGCGG
RNAcentral lists this ribosomal RNA (305 nucleotides) under uncultured bacterium. Its description in RNAcentral is "bacterial SSU rRNA". It matches the Rfam family "Bacterial small subunit ribosomal RNA", at positions 336 to 639 of the family's 1533-position model. The record is from RNAcentral.